Molecule: ribosomal RNA, 253 nt
Filed under: uncultured bacterium
Lineage: Bacteria
Description: partial 16S ribosomal RNA
Rfam family: Bacterial small subunit ribosomal RNA
Source: RNAcentral
UACGGGGGGGGUAAGCGUUGUUCGGAAUUACUGGGCGUAAAGGGUUUGUAGGUGGCUUGCUAAGUCAGACGUGAAAUCCCUCAGCUUAACUGGGGAACUGCGUCUGAGACUGGCGAGCUUGAGUGCGGGAGAGGAACGCGGAAUUCCAGGUGUAGCGGUGAAAUGCGUAGAUAUCUGGAGGAACACCGGUGGCGAAGGCGGCGUUCUGGACUGCAACUGACACUGAGAAACGAAAGCCAGGGGAGCAAACGGG